Molecule: ribosomal RNA, 213 nt
Filed under: Trypanosoma vivax
Lineage: Eukaryota; Euglenozoa; Kinetoplastea; Trypanosomatida; Trypanosomatidae
Description: partial small subunit ribosomal RNA
Source: RNAcentral
AUGGGGACUGUGGCCAGCGGCGCCGCCGGGCUCGCCCGCGCGCGCGCGCGCUCCACCAACCAUCACGUGCUCAUUCUUUGGCGCGGCCCUCGCGGCCCCGCCGAUAAGGGAAUGUCCUCAGCACGUCCAACCGCCACGCGAAAGCUUUGAGGUUACAGUCUCAGGGGGAGUAGAGACCCGCUGGUUCAGGUUGAGGUUACAGUCUCAGGGGGA